This 378-nucleotide unclassified non-coding RNA is filed under the name plant metagenome. Its description in RNAcentral is "partial contains 5.8S ribosomal RNA, internal transcribed spacer 2, and large subunit ribosomal RNA". The stretch from base 1 to 105 matches the Rfam family "5.8S ribosomal RNA", at positions 50 to 154 of the family's 154-position model. The record is from RNAcentral.
GAAAUGCGAUAAGUAAUGUGAAUUGCAGAAUUCAGUGAAUCAUCGAAUCUUUGAACGCACCUUGCGCUCCUUGGUAUUCCUUGGAGCAUGCCUGUUUGAGUAUCAUGAAAUCUUCAAAGUAAAUCUUUUGUUAACUCAAUUGGUUUCUACUUUGGUAUUGGAGGUCUUUGCAGCUUCACACCUGCUCCUCUUUGUUCAUUAGCUGGUUCUCAGUGUUAUGCUUGGUUCCACUCGGCGUGAUAAGUUAUCUAUCGCUGAGGACACUGUAAAAGGUGGCCAAGGUAAAUGCAGAUGAACCGCUUCUAAUAGUCCAUUGACUUGGACAAUACUUUUAUGAUCUGAUCUCAAAUCAGGUAGGACUACCCGCUGAACUUAAGC